RNAcentral lists this ribosomal RNA (1560 nucleotides) under Escherichia coli. RNAcentral describes it as "partial 23S ribosomal RNA". It matches the Rfam family "Bacterial large subunit ribosomal RNA", at positions 1403 to 2925 of the family's 2925-position model. Lineage: Bacteria; Pseudomonadati; Pseudomonadota; Gammaproteobacteria; Enterobacterales; Enterobacteriaceae. The record is from RNAcentral.
CGAAAGGCGUAGUCGAUGGGAAACAGGUUAAUAUUCCUGUACUUGGUGUUACUGCGAAGGGGGGACGGAGAAGGCUAUGUUGGCCGGGCGACGGUUGUCCCGGUUUAAGCGUGUAGGCUGGUUUUCCAGGCAAAUCCGGAAAAUCAAGGCUGAGGCGUGAUGACGAGGCACUACGGUGCUGAAGCAACAAAUGCCCUGCUUCCAGGAAAAGCCUCUAAGCAUCAGGUAACAUCAAAUCGUACCCCAAACCGACACAGGUGGUCAGGUAGAGAAUACCAAGGCGCUUGAGAGAACUCGGGUGAAGGAACUAGGCAAAAUGGUGCCGUAACUUCGGGAGAAGGCACGCUGAUAUGUAGGUGAAGCGACUUGCUCGUGGAGCUGAAAUCAGUCGAAGAUACCAGCUGGCUGCAACUGUUUAUUAAAAACACAGCACUGUGCAAACACGAAAGUGGACGUAUACGGUGUGACGCCUGCCCGGUGCCGGAAGGUUAAUUGAUGGGGUCAGCGCAAGCGAAGCUCUUGAUCGAAGCCCCGGUAAACGGCGGCCGUAACUAUAACGGUCCUAAGGUAGCGAAAUUCCUUGUCGGGUAAGUUCCGACCUGCACGAAUGGCGUAAUGAUGGCCAGGCUGUCUCCACCCGAGACUCAGUGAAAUUGAACUCGCUGUGAAGAUGCAGUGUACCCGCGGCAAGACGGAAAGACCCCGUGAACCUUUACUAUAGCUUGACACUGAACAUUGAGCCUUGAUGUGUAGGAUAGGUGGGAGGCUUUGAAGUGUGGACGCCAGUCUGCAUGGAGCCGACCUUGAAAUACCACCCUUUAAUGUUUGAUGUUCUAACGUGGACCCGUAAUCCGGGUUGCGGACAGUGUCUGGUGGGUAGUUUGACUGGGGCGGUCUCCUCCUAAAGAGUAACGGAGGAGCACGAAGGUUGGCUAAUCCUGGUCGGACAUCAGGAGGUUAGUGCAAUGGCAUAAGCCAGCUUGACUGCGAGCGUGACGGCGCGAGCAGGUGCGAAAGCAGGUCAUAGUGAUCCGGUGGUUCUGAAUGGAAGGGCCAUCGCUCAACGGAUAAAAGGUACUCCGGGGAUAACAGGCUGAUACCGCCCAAGAGUUCAUAUCGACGGCGGUGUUUGGCACCUCGAUGUCGGCUCAUCACAUCCUGGGGCUGAAGUAGGUCCCAAGGGUAUGGCUGUUCGCCAUUUAAAGUGGUACGCGAGCUGGGUUUAGAACGUCGUGAGACAGUUCGGUCCCUAUCUGCCGUGGGCGCUGGAGAACUGAGGGGGGCUGCUCCUAGUACGAGAGGACCGGAGUGGACGCAUCACUGGUGUUCGGGUUGUCAUGCCAAUGGCACUGCCCGGUAGCUAAAUGCGGAAGAGAUAAGUGCUGAAAGCAUCUAAGCACGAAACUUGCCCCGAGAUGAGUUCUCCCUGACUCCUUGAGAGUCCUGAAGGAACGUUGAAGACGACGACGUUGAUAGGCCGGGUGUGUAAGCGCAGCGAUGCGUUGAGCUAACCGGUACUAAUGAACCGUGAGGCUUAACCUUACAACGCCGAAGGUGUUU